RNAcentral lists this ribosomal RNA (1085 nucleotides) under Microbacterium sp. 762G71. RNAcentral's name for it is "bacterial SSU rRNA". It matches the Rfam family "Bacterial small subunit ribosomal RNA", at positions 56 to 1150 of the family's 1533-position model. The record is from RNAcentral. Lineage: Bacteria; Bacillati; Actinomycetota; Actinomycetes; Micrococcales; Microbacteriaceae.
UGCAAGUCGAACGGUGAAAGAGAGCUUGCUCUCUGGAUCAGUGGCGAACGGGUGAGUAACACGUGAGCAAUCUGCCCCUGACUCUGGGAUAAGCGCUGGAAACGGCGUCUAAUACCGGAUACGAGCUGCGAAGGCAUCUUCAGCAGCUGGAAAGAACUUCGGUCAGGGAUGAGCUCGCGGCCUAUCAGCUAGUUGGUGAGGUAAUGGCUCACCAAGGCGUCGACGGGUAGCCGGCCUGAGAGGGUGACCGGCCACACUGGGACUGAGACACGGCCCAGACUCCUACGGGAGGCAGCAGUGGGGAAUAUUGCACAAUGGGCGCAAGCCUGAUGCAGCAACGCCGCGUGAGGGACGACGGCCUUCGGGUUGUAAACCUCUUUUAGCAGGGAAGAAGCGAAAGUGACGGUACCUGCAGAAAAAGCACCGGCUAACUACGUGCCAGCAGCCGCGGUAAUACGUAGGGUGCAAGCGUUAUCCGGAAUUAUUGGGCGUAAAGAGCUCGUAGGCGGUUUGUCGCGUCUGCUGUGAAAUCCCGAGGCUCAACCUCGGGCCUGCAGUGGGUACGGGCAGACUAGAGUGCGGUAGGGGAGAUUGGAAUUCCUGGUGUAGCGGUGGAAUGCGCAGAUAUCAGGAGGAACACCGAUGGCGAAGGCAGAUCUCUGGGCCGUAACUGACGCUGAGGAGCGAAAGGGUGGGGAGCAAACAGGCUUAGAUACCCUGGUAGUCCACCCCGUAAACGUUGGGAACUAGUUGUGGGGUCCAUUCCACGGAUUCCGUGACGCAGCUAACGCAUUAAGUUCCCCGCCUGGGGAGUACGGCCGCAAGGCUAAAACUCAAAGGAAUUGACGGGGACCCGCACAAGCGGCGGAGCAUGCGGAUUAAUUCGAUGCAACGCGAAGAACCUUACCAAGGCUUGACAUAUACGAGAACGCUGCAGAAAUGUAGAACUCUUUGGACACUCGUAAACAGGUGGUGCAUGGUUGUCGUCAGCUCGUGUCGUGAGAUGUUGGGGUUAAGUCCCGCAACGAGCGCAACCCUCGUUCUAUGUUGCCAGCACGUAAUGGUGGGGAACUCAUGGGGAUACU